AAGCAGCUUGCUGCUUUGCUGACGAGUGGCGGACGGGUGAGUAAUGUCUGGGAAACUGCCUGAUGGAGGGGGAUAACUACUGGAAACGGUAGCUAAUACCGCAUAACGUCGCAAGACCAAAGAGGGGGACCUUAGGGCCUCUUGCCAUCGGAUGUGCCCAGAUGGGAUUAGCUAGUAGGUGGGGUAACGGCUCACCUAGGCGACGAUCCCUAGCUGGUCUGAGAGGAUGACCAGCCACACUGGAACUGAGACACGGUCCAGACUCCUACGGGAGGCAGCAGUGGGGAAUAUUGCACAAUGGGCGCAAGCCUGAUGCAGCCAUGCCGCGUGUAUGAAGAAGGCCUUCGGGUUGUAAAGUACUUUCAGCGGGGAGGAAGGGAGUAAAGUUAAUACCUUUGCUCAUUGACGUUACCCGCAGAAGAAGCACCGGCUAACUCCGUGCCAGCAGCCGCGGUAAUACGGAGGGUGCAAGCGUUAAUCGGAAUUACUGGGCGUAAAGCGCACGCAGGCGGUUUGUUAAGUCAGAUGUGAAAUCCCCGGGCUCAACCUGGGAACUGCAUCUGAUACUGGCAAGCUUGAGUCUCGUAGAGGGGGGUAGAAUUCCAGGUGUAGCGGUGAAAUGCGUAGAGAUCUGGAGGAAUACCGGUGGCGAAGGCGGCCCCCUGGACGAAGACUGACGCUCAGGUGCGAAAGCGUGGGGAGCAAACAGGAUUAGAUACCCUGGUAGUCCACGCCGUAAACGAUGUCGACUUGGAGGUUGUGCCCUUGAGGCGUGGCUUCCGGAGCUAACGCGUUAAGUCGACCGCCUGGGGAGUACGGCCGCAAGGUUAAAACUCAAAUGAAUUGACGGGGGCCCGCACAAGCGGUGGAGCAUGUGGUUUAAUUCGAUGCAACGCGAAGAACCUUACCUGGUCUUGACAUCCACGGAAGUUUUCAGAGAUGAGAAUGUGCCUUCGGGAACCGUGAGACAGGUGCUGCAUGGCUGUCGUCAGCUCGUGUUGUGAAAUGUUGGGUUAAGUCCCGCAACGAGCGCAACCCUUAUCCUUUGUUGCCAGCGGUCCGGCCGGGAACUCAAAGGAGACUGCCAGUGAUAAACUGGAGGAAGGUGGGGAUGACGUCAAGUCAUCAUGGCCCUUACGACCAGGGCUACACACGUGCUACAAUGGCGCAUACAAAGAGAAGCGACCUCGCGAGAGCAAGCGGACCUCAUAAAGUGCGUCGUAGUCCGGAUUGGAGUCUGCAACUCGACUCCAUGAAGUCGGAAUCGCUAGUAAUCGUGGAUCAGAAUGCCACGGUGAAUACGUUCCCGGGCCUUGUACACACCGCCCGUCACACCAUGGGAGUGGGUUGCAAAAGAAGUAGGUAGCUUAACCUUCGGGAGGGCGCUUACCACUUUGUGAUUCAUGACUGGGGUGAAGUCGUAACAAGGUAACCGUAGGGGAACCUGCGGUUGGAUCACCUCCUUACCUUAAA
This 1473-nucleotide ribosomal RNA is filed under the name Escherichia coli. RNAcentral describes it as "bacterial SSU rRNA". It matches the Rfam family "Bacterial small subunit ribosomal RNA". The record is from RNAcentral. Lineage: Bacteria; Pseudomonadati; Pseudomonadota; Gammaproteobacteria; Enterobacterales; Enterobacteriaceae.